This 72-nucleotide transfer RNA is filed under the name Schistocephalus solidus. It matches the Rfam family "tRNA". From Rfam's summary of the family: Transfer RNA (tRNA) molecules are approximately 80 nucleotides in length. Their secondary structure includes four short double-helical elements and three loops (D, anti-codon, and T loops). Further hydrogen bonds mediate the characteristic L-shaped molecular structure. tRNAs have two regions of fundamental functional importance: the anti-codon, which is responsible for specific mRNA codon recognition, and the 3' end, to which the tRNAs corresponding amino acid is attached (by aminoacyl-tRNA synthetases). tRNAs cope with the degeneracy of the genetic code in two manners: having more than one tRNA (with a specific anti-codon) for a particular amino acid; and 'wobble' base-pairing, i.e. permitting non-standard base-pairing at the 3rd anti-codon position. The record is from Rfam by way of RNAcentral. Lineage: Eukaryota; Metazoa; Platyhelminthes; Cestoda; Diphyllobothriidea; Diphyllobothriidae.
GAGCACGUGGCUCAAUGGUAGAGCGUUCGACUCAAAUACCAAAGGUCGCGGGUUCGAAUCCCAGGUGUGCCA